RNAcentral lists this long non-coding RNA (2267 nucleotides) under Sus scrofa (pig). RNAcentral's name for it is "lncRNA (ENSSSCG00025017134.1)". Lineage: Eukaryota; Metazoa; Chordata; Mammalia; Artiodactyla; Suidae. The record is from RNAcentral.
UUUUUUUGUUUUGUUUUGUUUUUUGCUUUUUUAGGGCCGCACUUGCAGCAUAUAGAGGUUCCCAGGCUAGGGGUCUAAUUUGAGCUACAGCUCCUGGCCUACGCCACAACCACAGCCACGCCAGUUCUGAGCAGCAUCUGUGACCACAGCUCAGGGCAACGCUGGAUCCCUAAUGCACUGAGCGAGGCCAGGGAUCAAACCUGCAUCCUCAUGGGUGAUAGUCAGAUUCGUUUCCUCUGAGCCACGAUGGGAACUCCAAUCGGAGUAAUCUUGGUCUUGGCAUCUGAUGAUUGUCUUUUUUUUUUCAGGUUGUGACUGUCCUGUCUUGGUGUGGUGAGUGAUUUUCUAUUGUAAACUGGACAUUUUAGGGGAGUUCCUGUUGCGGCUCAGUGAUAAUGAACCUGAUUAGUAUCUAUAAGGAUAUGGGUUCGAUCCCUGGCCUUGCUCAGUGGGUUAAGCAUCCAAAGUUGCCGUGAGCUGUGGUGUAGUAUUGUGGAAAGUAGCAUAAUGUCUUUUCUAUCAAAGGAAAUCUUGGUGACUUCAUUUUGCUCCUGUUCACCUUACUGUGACCACCUGCCCCCCCCCCCCCCCCCCCCCCGCCCCAAUCUUUCUCGCUUCUCCCUGGAACAAUCUGUUUCAAAUUAGCCAACCAGGGAGCCUGUGCACCCUGACCUGUCCUAUGGGAAGGGGACAGGUACAUCACCUGCAUUAGGGAUAAGUAGGAGAGGGUCCUUAGUUCGGCGCGUGCAUUUUUUGGAGUGCCCGCACCCUUGUGCAGAAGUAAAGAGACUUGUCGAGAUCUCCCCAUGUUCAUGUGUCUCGUUUUUCGACAUUGAUGAUCCGAGCCAUGUCCCCAACAGUAUGUAGGUCCAGGUGGGGUGGUAGUUCAGCUCCCUUUUGGGCCCUGCUGAAGCCGCCCUGGUGUAAGGGGAGCACAUGGCCUUGGUGCCUCCAGAUGAAGAUAGAAGUUCAGGUCCACACUCUGCCCUACUGACAUCGGGGCCGGGGAGUGCAGUGCAGCAAGCAUUUCUUCACUAUACCUUUUCCCACUGUUUCUGCUGCCAGGUGGGAACAGAGGCUCAGCUCCCUCCUGGAGUCAACUUUACUUUGAUUAGUAUAUAUGUUACUCUGAAUUCUUUAUAUCUUACAAAGAACCCAUUUGAUAGGGACCACAACCUCCUCACAGUCCAAACAGGGCAUUUGGGAAACACCACCUUCCGGAAGAGAAGAUGCAGUGGUAAGGACCUAGCGAGCCUCCACGUCCCAUCACUCUAAUGGCUUUCCAUUCAUUUUCGAUGUAAUAAGCUGUGUUUACAGUUAUCUACUUACAUGUCCUUCAGAGUCAAAACUAAUCGUGGGAUUUACUUUCUUGUGUAGUGAUUUGCUUUUCCUUCUCUUUUUCUUCUUCCCUCCCUCUUUCCUUUCCUUCCUUUCUUUCUUCUUCUUUCCUUCUUUCUCUGUCUCCCCCUCCUUCCUUUUUUCCUUAUCAAUAAAUAUUCAUUAAGUACCUGUGGUGCCCAGGCACUAAGUUCUAGGAAUGUAGCAGUGACCACUACCCACAAGAAAAGAUCACUGUUUUGUGGUGCAUAAACUCUACUGAAAAGACUCAGAAACAAGUAAUAAAAUAAAUCUGUAUACAAUUUGAAAGAACAAAAAGUCCUAUGAGAAAAAAUAAUGUGAAAAGGCAAGAUGGUGAGGAGGAAGAUGCUUCUAAGGCGGUUUCAUUUGGGCUGAGUCCAGAAGGAUAAGAAGGAACCAGCUCCGUGAUGAUCUUGGUGAUAAUCUCUGGCUCAUUCAACCCUCUGCCUCUUUUGCAACUACACCUGUGCUGCUGAACAUGCCUAGAGAAAAAGUUCAGCUGCACUGAAUGCUCUCCCCUUAGGGUAGGACCACAAACUUCCAGGGGGCUCAAUGCUACACAGGAAUCAGGGUGGUUCUGAAAACAUGGUCCCCAGACCACAUCAUCAGUAUCACCUGGGAGCUUGUUGGGAAAUGGACCGCUCAGCCCCCACCCCAGACACACUGAAUGGGAAAUCCUGGGAAGAGCAUCCUCAUGGAUACUAGUCAGGUUCUUAACCUGCUGAGCCACAACGGGAGCUCCCAUAAAUAUGCCCGCAUGUAACUUUCAAGUCCAUAUGAGCAUGUGUUUCUGUAGGGUGUCACCUGGCCAUGGUUUUGCUGAUCAGAGAGUAGGUGUACCUUUAGACUUAUUGGAUUUUGCUGAUUUUUAAAAAGUGGUUUUACCUGUUUACUCUUUUACCAGCAGU